UGAAAAACUUUGAUCAAUAGGAGUAAAUUAAUGUUAUUUUAUAGAGAGUUAGUGUUUGGUGGAAACUAAUAGAUAUGUUAAUUGAAGGUAGAUUGGGAGUUAUAUAUUUGAAAUUAAGUAGAAUAUGUCGUUUACUGCGUUAAAGUUUUGAGUGAUAGAUUAUAAUCUAUAAGAAAGGUGGUACCGCGAGUAAUCGUCCUUUUA
Molecule: non-coding RNA, 204 nt
Filed under: Clostridium sp.
Lineage: Bacteria; Bacillati; Bacillota; Clostridia; Eubacteriales; Clostridiaceae
Description: T-box sequence
Rfam family: T-box leader
About the family: Uncharged tRNA acts as the effector for transcription antitermination of genes in the T-box leader family.
Source: RNAcentral